RNAcentral lists this transfer-messenger RNA (412 nucleotides) under Patescibacteria group. RNAcentral's name for it is "21-14-all-47-17 sp002786495 Standard tmRNA". It matches the Rfam family "transfer-messenger RNA". Rfam says of the family: Bacterial tmRNA, also known as 10Sa RNA or SsrA, is named for its dual tRNA and mRNA-like properties. Its role is to liberate the mRNA from a stalled ribosome. RNAcentral also lists the same sequence under 1 other name. The record is from RNAcentral.
GGGGAUGAAUCAGCUUCGACGACGGACUUUUUAUAUAACAGCAAGCCGUGCAGGAUGGUCGCGCACGUAAAUCCAGACCAUCAACAUGACAACUGCCAACGUCAUUUCCAAGGUAAAGAGUGCGGUCGCUUCGGCGUUCCGUGCCCCAGCCUUCGCCCCGUCCCUCGCGUAAGCGAGCCUGAUGGGCCGAUCCUCUUCUCCCCGUCUCAGGGAAAAGAACCGAUCGCCAUAUCUUUGAGACUUGGUUCUCUACGCGCUUCCCGCAGAGAAUGACAAGGCUUGGUAGAUAGACUUCCGUCCGUCGCCCGUUCAUACGCGGCAGAAGCGACUUUUCUAAGAACGGGCCAAGCUUGUGAAUGAUGUUAUGUAAGGGUUUGCUCGGACGGGGGUGCGAUUCCCCCCAUCUCCACCA